GAGUUUGAUCUUGGCUCAGAUUGAACGCUGGCGGCAGGCCUAACACAUGCAAGUCGAGCGGAUGACGGGAGCUUGCUCCUUGAUUCAGCGGCGGACGGGUGAGUAAUGCCUAGGAAUCUGCCUGGUAGUGGGGGACAACGUUUCGAAAGGAACGCUAAUACCGCAUACGUCCUACGGGAGAAAGCAGGGGACCUUCGGGCCUUGCGCUAUCAGAUGAGCCUAGGUCGGAUUAGCUAGUUGGUGGGGUAAUGGCUCACCAAGGCGACGAUCCGUAACUGGUCUGAGAGGAUGAUCAGUCACACUGGAACUGAGACACGGUCCAGACUCCUACGGGAGGCAGCAGUGGGGAAUAUUGGACAAUGGGCGAAAGCCUGAUCCAGCCAUGCCGCGUGUGUGAAGAAGGUCUUCGGAUUGUAAAGCACUUUAAGUUGGGAGGAAGGCAGUAAGCGAAUACUUGCUGUUUGACGUUACCGACAGAAUAAGCACCGGCUAACUCUGUGCCAG
This 504-nucleotide ribosomal RNA is filed under the name uncultured Gammaproteobacteria bacterium. RNAcentral describes it as "bacterial SSU rRNA". It matches the Rfam family "Bacterial small subunit ribosomal RNA", at positions 9 to 511 of the family's 1533-position model. The record is from RNAcentral. Lineage: Bacteria; Pseudomonadati; Pseudomonadota; Gammaproteobacteria.